Molecule: long non-coding RNA, 4772 nt
Organism: Oreochromis aureus
Lineage: Eukaryota; Metazoa; Chordata; Actinopteri; Cichliformes; Cichlidae
Exons: 3
Source: RefSeq, a predicted model, not a curated record
ACACACACACACACACACACACACACACACACACACACACACACACACACAAAAAAAAUAUAUUUUUUGGCAUUUUGCCUUUAUUGGGUAGCGAUAGUGAAGACAGACAGGAAAGCGGAUAGAAGACAUGGAAGGAAGACAUGCAGCAAAGGGCCACAGGUCGGACUGACUGUAACUGGUGCGUUUCUUAAUUGCUUUUGUUUUAGAUCAGGGUUCCCAGUGUGCAGUUUGCCAAGCAAGUGCUGCAACAAUUAAAAACAAAAAACAACAAAAAUAAUACAUUCCCAUAAAGGGAGUCAUCAACCAUAGAAAAUAAUCACGUUUAAUCACAGAAUGUUUUGAUUGUUUAGAAACCUACCUACUGAUUGUGUACUUCAAAAAUAAGAAUAGGAGAUUAGCGUUCUGUGUAAUUUCAUUAUUAUUAACGUAUGUUUUUCUAGUUAAGAUUUCUCAGCCAUUUCAAUUGGUUGGAAUGGACCUUCUUGGGAAACUUAGAAACCAAAAGGGGACAUCAGUACAUUUGUGUUUUCAUUGGCUACUUCAAAAUACCAACACGGAUCCCCACUGAAGUCUAAAUCAGCAAAGGAAGUGACAAACUGAUCAAAUUUGUCCAUCAGUUUGAAGCACCUAACAGGGUUCUUAGUGAGCAAGGAAAAGAAUUUGUCAAUUCAGUAAGUACUUCAGUCUUUGGCAAAAAUUGUUAUUGGCAUGUAACACUUUAAAAAAAAUUAUAUACGUCUUUAAGCUUCUACUUCUGGUUUUUAUAAAUCUGUUUGAUAUUUUUAUGACUGCUGUAUAUUUCAAAUCUUCUUGUAAUGUACUUAGUCAGUAUAUUUGACUUGCUGUUGCAGCUCAAAAGGUUAUGCAGAAUGUUACACAGAAGAAACCUCUGCUCCCCAUAUCACCCACAAACAAAUGGCUCAGUAGAGAGAAUGAAUGGCACCAUCCAGAGGUAAAUUCUUUGUUAUAUUCUGUAAUAGACCACACCAAAGCCUGAUACUUUGGGUACAUCCAGCUUAACACGUAAAACAUUAGUUUUAUGGGGUUCCCUUCCACUAAAACAUUAAAGGUAUGACAUUUAAAAAAAAAAAAGAAAAAAGGAAAAUGAUCUUUCAUAUGAAUGUUUUGCAUAUGCUUUUAUUGCCAGAGCCCUCUGUAAGGUUGUUGGUGACCAUCCAGAAACAUGGGAUGACUAUCUGGAUGUUGUGAUGUUUGGUCUCAGAACAAAAAAGCAAAUGACCACUGAAAUACUCACCCCAUUACCUGAUUUUUGGCAGAGAGGCUCGUUAUCCAUAUGAAAUCCCAGAACAUUACAUGGUCUUUCUGUCUGUGACAGACUACAGGAAAAUCCUACGCAAAGCACCUUAGUAAGUUUUUGAUGCACAGGCAGAACAGUUUGAAUGCAUGCUACAUCACCACCUUAAAAGCAACAAUAGUAUCAGAUCCAGGGGUCAGAAGCUACAGCAAAGGAAGAAAACGCCACCAGAACCAGCACGCGCUGCAGGUCCACAAGCCAAAUCACAAACAGCAGCAGACCCAGCCUCACAGACCACAGCAGCAGACCUCGAUCCAAAAGCUACAACUCCACCAGCAACUACUCCCCAGGUUGUAGCACCACCAGCAUCAACUACUCCUAAGUAAUCUACAGCACAAACUGUAGAAGCAACAGUACUACCAGUGACAGCAGCAACAGCCUUACAAGCUACCCCCUGCACCACCUCCAGCAUCAUCACCUCAAAGAUAUACUCAAGCUGUUGCAGAGAAAUGUAAAAAAAGAAAAAGAAAAUAACAAUUUUGUGAUUUGCUUAAAAAGCCCUUUAUUCCUAUGAUACUCUGUUACAUUACUCUUUAGAUCAUGGCACAGGAUAUUUUACACAAUUUCCCUGUUGGUUUAGGUAUAUUAUUCAAAAGACUUAAAAUUCAAUACUCUGUUAAUGCAUUUUCAAAAAAUAUACCUUCAUCAAGCAAGGCUGUAACUCACAUGUGUCACGUGACAUAAAUAAUUGAUUCUUUCAACAACAACAACAAAAACAACAACAAAAAAAAAGAGUCAUAUUUCUUUGUUAUUGUGUAAACCAGAAUGUUCAGAAUUGACAUUGUACUUAUAAUGUACACUACCAGUUAAAAGUUUGGACACCUUCCCAUUCAAAGUUCUGUUUUCAUGGCUACUUGCAUUGUAGAUUCUCACUGAAGGCAUCAAAACUAUGAACGAACCCAUAUGGAACCCUAACCUGAUCAUAUAGUAAAGAAAAAAGUAUAAAAUAAAAAGAGGUUUUGUGUCUUAGUCUUCAAAAUAGCCACCCUUUGCUUUGCACACCCUUUGCCUUCUCAGUAAGCUUCAUAAAGUAGUCACCUGAAAUGGUUGUCACUGCACAGGUGACACACAAAGCAGAGGUGACUCUUGGCCUUCCUUUCCUGGGAUGGGCCUCAUGUGAGCCAGUUUCAUUGUAGCGCUUGAUGGUUUUUGCAACUACAGUUUGGUUGUCUUUGGGGAUCAGGACCGUCUGGGUAGUGAUGUGUCCUGUGUGUCGAAGCUUCAAAGCGUGUCGGGUAAUCUCGGGGGAGUUUUUGUGAAGUGUGUACAGAGGCUUGCUUUGAUUACGUAUGCAGUGACGUUCGAGGCCUCGCGGGCAGCCCGUACCACAUGACUGAUUCAGGAACUGGCUCGCCAGUUUCCAAAUAAAAUGGGUAACAAAACACAGCUGAUUCCCCCAUCACAUUGUUUUGUGGAAUUGGAUUACGUACAUGUUACAUAGUUACUCGAGCAUUUCUUCUUCGAUGGAACCAGCAAGGAAGAGAAGAUUUCCCCUGUCUGGCAACACUGAUCUCAUCUCUCCUAAUAAGGUAUGCACACAGUAAUAAAUAUCACAAAUGAUAAGUACCAUAAUAUAAAUAAACCACACCACAGAUCCUAUAAUCUGAUUUCUGUCUUUUGGUUUAUUGAAAGGUGAAGUGUUUGUUGUGCUCCAAAGAACUUGGAUACAGCAACAACACCUCAACUAUGCUGAGGCAUUACAGAGCCCUGUGUGAAAACAAGGAGACUAUCCAAGGUGGACCAAGCUCAGGGGAGAGGAAUGAUAUGGAUGAGGCAUUGGUCAACAUGGUGAUAGAUUCCCAGCCCUUCACUAUUGUGGAGGACAGUGGGUUUAGAAAGCUUGUUAAAGCUUUGAACCUUAACUGUUCUCCCCACAAGGCAGGCUUUGAAAGCUAUGGUGGACCAAAGAUACAAAGAGUCCAAACAAAAAGAAAAACUGACUGUGGCAAAGGCUUCUGUAGUUAGUUUGACAUCUGAUAUGUGGACCUCCAUUAACACAGAGGGUUUCCUAGCUGUCACCUGCCAUGUCAUUGAUUCUAACACUGCAUUGCAUUCUGUAGUGUUAGGUGUUCAGCACUUCCCUAAAGCACAUACUGCUAUCAAUUUGUCCCAAGUAACAGCAGCGCUCAUGUCAGAGUGGGGAAUUACAGACAAAGUUACAUGUUAUGUGACUGAUGGAGCAGCAAACAUGGGUGCUUGUGCAAAGGAGCUUUGUUUGCAUCACAGUAAUUGUGUGGCGCAUACAUUGAACCUAAUGGUCAAAAAAAGCUCUUGAUCAACACACCGCGCUGUCUGAGAUCCAGACCACCUGUAGGAGGACCGUGGGAUAUUUCAAGAGCAGUGCAACUGCUAAGGUUUGUUCCAUUAUUUCAUUAUUGCUUUAAGGAGCUGCUGCAAUAACACAGCUUGAAUUAAUCAAUUUGUGUUGGCUGUUUUCUUAGGAGAGGCUGACAGAGGUGCAAGAGCAAAUGGGCCGGCCUCCACUGAAGUUAAUUCAAGAGGUGGAUACAUGUUGGAACAGCACAUUCCAAAUGCUUCAAUGUAUUCAUGAGCUCAGGGAACCUAUUGGAGCAUCGUUAGCUGGCCUGCACACUGAUAUUUGCCCACUAUCCUCUGAACAGUAUGACCUUAUGGCAGAAUGUCUCAAAAUGCUCUCCCCAUUUAAUGAUGCCACCACUGAGCUGUCAGAGGAAAAGAGUGUCUGAAUCCAAAGUAAUUCCACUUCUAACCAUGUUGCACCAUGCACUAAAUUAAGAGGAAAUGGGAGUUGUCCUAACUCCAGAGAGGUCCACCAUGGUUGAGUGUCUGAGGAGACAAUUAAAGGAGAAGCUCUACAUGUUGCAGUCAAUGAGCAUCAUGUCACUGGCAACAUUGCUGGAUCCAAGGUUUAAAAAAAAAAAAAAAAAAAAAAAAAAAAAAAAGAGGCUUCUUUAGCCCCAAUAAAGCACUGGAUGCUGAGAGGAGACUCAUUUUUGAGUGUGCUGCUGCUUUGCAGCACUUGGCAGCCUCUCAGCCUGUGACUUAAGGUGUAUGAGCACAUUUUGAUUAUUUUAUUGUAUUUAGUUACUUACAUCCUGUUUGUUUUAAGCUAUGUCCACGCUAGCCCGGAUAGAUUUGAAAAAGGCGUUUGUCUGAAAACGCUCUGCGUCCACACUAGCCUCUUCAGUUGUUUUCAAAGAGUUGCGCGUCCACACUAAAACAGCCAAAAAAAACAAAAAAAACCUGACGUUGCAGUUCGUGAAACGCAAGACGACUCAACCUGCGUCAUUUCCCAUUUUCCGGCUCUUUUGGAUGACAUCACACGUCUGGAUUACCAGCUUCCAAGGCACCAAGAGUGUGCAUGUCAUCUAGGGCUGCCACAAACGAUUAUUUUGAUAGUCGACUAGUCACCGAUUAUUUUUGCGAUUAGUCGACUAAUCGGAUCAUGCAUCCAUUGGACGUAAAACGUACAGCUUAU